AAUCAACGCUGGCGGCGUGCCUAAUACAUGCAAGUCGAACGCGAAAGCCCCGCAAGGGGCAAGUAGAGUGGCAAACGGGUGAGUAACGCGUGGGCGACCUACCUUCGAGUGGGGGAUAACCUUCCGAAAGGAGGGCUAAUACCGCAUGACAUCCCGUGUUUAGAUACACGGACAUCAAAGUCGGGGAUCGCAAGACCUGACGCUUGGAGAGGGGCCCGCGUCCGAUUAGCUAGUUGGUGGGGUAACGGCCCACCAAGGCUUCGAUCGGUAUCCGGCCUGAGAGGGCGGACGGACACACUGGGACUGAGACACGGCCCAGACUCCUACGGGAGGCAGCAGUAGGGAAUUGUUCGCAAUGGGCGCAAGCCUGACGACGCAACGCCGCGUGG
Molecule: ribosomal RNA, 389 nt
Filed under: uncultured bacterium
Lineage: Bacteria
Description: bacterial SSU rRNA
Rfam family: Bacterial small subunit ribosomal RNA
Source: RNAcentral